Molecule: ribosomal RNA, 497 nt
Filed under: uncultured bacterium
Lineage: Bacteria
Description: partial 16S ribosomal RNA
Rfam family: Bacterial small subunit ribosomal RNA
Source: RNAcentral
GAUGAACGCUGGCGGCGUGCCUAAUACAUGCAAGUCGAGCGAACAGACGAGGCGCUUGCUCCUCUGACGUUAGCGGCGGACGGGUGAGUAACACGUGGAUACCCUACCUAUAAGACUGGGAUAACUUCGGGAAACCGGAGCUAAUACCGGAUAAUAUAUUGAACCGCAUGGUUCAAUAGAGAAAGUCGGUUUUGCUGGCACUUCUAGAUGGAUCCGCGCCGCAUUAGCUAGUUGGUAAGGUAACGGCUUACCAAGGCAACGAUGCGUAGCCGACCUGAGAGGGUGAUCGGCCACACUGGAACUGAGACACGGUCCAGACUCCUACGGGAAGCAGCAGUAGGGAAUCUUCCGCAAUGGGCGAAAGCUUGACGGAGCAACGCCGCGUGAGUGAUGAAGGUCUUCGGAUCGUAAAACUCUGUUAUUAGGGAAGAACAAAUGUGUAAGUAACUAUGCACGUCUUGACGGUACCUAAUCAGAAAGCCACGGCUAACUACGUG